Molecule: unclassified non-coding RNA, 271 nt
Filed under: Hevea brasiliensis (rubber tree)
Lineage: Eukaryota; Viridiplantae; Streptophyta; Magnoliopsida; Malpighiales; Euphorbiaceae
Source: RNAcentral
AUUGCCAGCACUAUUAGUGGCUGUCAUCUUGGUAUUCUUAGUUACUGUUACAACUUUGUAUGUGUGAUGACAAAAUACAUGUUAAAUUUCCUGUUGGAAUAGGAGAAAACGUCUUAGCAAUGGAAGUAGGGUAUAGUAGCAACACUGUAACAGCAAUAGUGUGGCACUCGAUGUGUCAUGUACCUUUUUGAAGUGUUGGGCAUCUUUCUUCAACCUAGCUUUUCAAAAAAUAGUGCUAGGACCAAAGGUGGAGCUUAAUCUUCUGGAAAAA